UCAGCUCGUGUCGUGAGAUGUGGUUAGUCCGCAACGAGCGCAACCCUAUUGUUAGUUGCCAUCAUUCAGUUGGGCACUCUAGCGAGACUGCCGGUAAUAAACCGGAGGAAGGUGGGGAUGACGUCAAAUCAUCAUGCCCCUUAUGACCUGGGCUACACACGUGCUACAAUGGUUGGUACAACGAGUUGCGAGUCGGUGACGGCGAGCUAAUCUCUUAAAGCCAAUCUCAGUUCGGAUUGUAGGCUGCAACUCGCCUACAUGAAGUCGGAAUCGCUAGUAAUCGCGGAUCAGCACGCCGCGGUGAAUACGUUCCCGGGCCUU
Molecule: ribosomal RNA, 321 nt
Filed under: uncultured Streptococcus sp.
Lineage: Bacteria; Bacillati; Bacillota; Bacilli; Lactobacillales; Streptococcaceae
Description: bacterial SSU rRNA
Rfam family: Bacterial small subunit ribosomal RNA
Source: RNAcentral